UUCUGUGAUACACUCCGACUCGGGCUCUGGAGCAGUCAGUGCAUGACAGAACUUGGGCCCGGACGGACC
This 69-nucleotide microRNA precursor is filed under the name Ovis aries (sheep). Its description in RNAcentral is "microRNA mir-152 (MIR152)". It matches the Rfam family "mir-148/mir-152 microRNA precursor family", at positions 12 to 74 of the family's 74-position model. From Rfam's summary of the family: The hairpin precursors (represented here) are predicted based on base pairing and cross-species conservation -- their extents are not known. In this case the mature sequence is excised from the 3' arm of the hairpin. The record is from RNAcentral. Lineage: Eukaryota; Metazoa; Chordata; Mammalia; Artiodactyla; Bovidae.